UCGAGUCCAUCAGAGGUCAAGACAAAGUUUAUGUUUUGACCACCAAACUCAAUUGAAGUUGCUGUAAUACUGACGAGCCCGGUGCUUUCGCAAACACAAAAAGCUUAAACCCUGAAUCCCAGAAUCCCCUCUUCGCCCCUUCUCUCUAAUCCUUCCUCUAAAACCCUAGCGAUGGCGUCCGAUGCUUCCUCAGCGUUACAAGUGAGGCAGAGAGUUCAGAACUUCCUCAAUGCCGCUCAGACCGGGAACCUUGAUCUCUUUAAGAAGCUGGCGAUGCAGCUUGACGAUGGGAAAGGGCUGGCGAAGACGGUGGGCGGAGGAUGUUUAAGG
Long non-coding RNA from Asparagus officinalis (garden asparagus), 330 nucleotides. RefSeq lists it as uncharacterized. The transcript is spliced from 3 exons. The record is from RefSeq and is a predicted model, not a curated record. NCBI's taxonomy places the organism in Eukaryota, Viridiplantae, Streptophyta, Magnoliopsida, Asparagales, Asparagaceae.